RNAcentral lists this ribosomal RNA (161 nucleotides) under uncultured bacterium. RNAcentral describes it as "partial 16S ribosomal RNA". The record is from RNAcentral.
UCCUACGGGAGGCAGCAGUGGGGAAUAUUGGACAAUGGGGGCAAGCCUAAUCCAGCCAUGCCGCGGAUGCAAGAAGGUCCCCGAUGGGAGCGAUUAAACUUGGGAAGAAGGACAGUAGUUAAUCCGGAGCAACAGACGUACAUCCAAAAAAGCAAGGUUCU